AAAUGAACUCUCAGCAACGGAUAUCUUGGCUCUUGCAACGAUGAAGAACGCAGCGAAAUGCGAUACCUAGUGUGAAUUGCAGAAUUCCGUGAAUCAUCGAGUUUUUGAACGCAAGUUGCGCCCGAGGCUUUUACCGAGGGCAUGUCUGUCUGAGCGUCCAU
RNAcentral lists this ribosomal RNA (161 nucleotides) under Frullania hattoriana. RNAcentral's name for it is "5.8S ribosomal RNA". It matches the Rfam family "5.8S ribosomal RNA". Rfam says of the family: 5.8S ribosomal RNA (5.8S rRNA) is a component of the large subunit of the eukaryotic ribosome. It is transcribed by RNA polymerase I as part of the 45S precursor that also contains 18S and 28S rRNA. The record is from RNAcentral. Lineage: Eukaryota; Viridiplantae; Streptophyta; Jungermanniopsida; Porellales; Frullaniaceae.